GACGAACGCUGGCGGCGUGCUUAACACAUGCAAGUCGAACGGAAAGGCCCUGCUUUUGUGGGGUGCUCGAGUGGCGAACGGGUGAGUAACACGUGAGUAACCUGCCCUUGACUUUGGGAUAACUUCAGGAAACUGGGUCUAAUACCGGAUAGGAGCUCCUGCUGCAUGGUGGGCGUUGGAAAGUUUCGGCGGUUGGGGAUGGACUCGCGGCUUAUCAGCUUGUUGGUGGGGUAGUGGCUGACCAAGGCUUGGACGGGUAGCCGGCCUGCGAGGGUGACCGGACACAUUGGGACUGAGAUACGGCCCAGACCCCAACGGGAGGCAGCAGUGGAGAAGAUUGCACAAUGGGCGGAAGCCUGAUGCAGCAACGCCGCGUGCGGGAUGACGGCCUUCGGGUUGUGAACCGCUGUCGCCUGUGACGAAGCGUGAGUGACGGUAAUGGGUAAAGAAGCACCGGCUAACUACGUG
RNAcentral lists this ribosomal RNA (468 nucleotides) under uncultured bacterium. Its description in RNAcentral is "partial 16S ribosomal RNA". It matches the Rfam family "Bacterial small subunit ribosomal RNA", at positions 28 to 507 of the family's 1533-position model. The record is from RNAcentral.